Molecule: ribosomal RNA, 524 nt
Filed under: uncultured bacterium
Lineage: Bacteria
Description: partial 16S ribosomal RNA
Rfam family: Bacterial small subunit ribosomal RNA
Source: RNAcentral
GACGAACGCUGGCGGCGUGCCUAAUACAUGCAAGUCGAACGAAGCUGUUUUAACUGGUGCUUGCACCGACUUAAACAACUGAGUGGCGAACGGGUGGGUAACACGUGGGUAACCUGCCCCAAAGCGGGGGAUAACAUUUGGAAACAGAUGCUAAUACCGCAUAAUCACAGAAACAACAUGGUUUCUGUGUCAAAGAUGGUUUCGGCUAUAACUUUGGGAUGGACCCGCGGCGUAUUAGCUAGUUGGUAAGGUAAUGGCUUACCAAGGCAAUGAUACGUAGCCGAACUGAGAGGUUGAUCGGCCACAUUGGGACUGAGACACGGCCCAAACUCCUACGGGAGGCAGCAGUAGGGAAUCGUCCACAAUGGACGAAAGUCUGAUGGAGCAACGCCGCGUGAGUGAAGAAGGUUUUCGGAUCGUAAAACUCUGUUGUCAGAGAAGAACGUGUGCGAGAGUAACUGUUCGUGCAGUGACGGUAUCUGGCCAGAAAGCCACAGCUAACUACGUGCCAGCCGCCGCAGUAA